Molecule: ribosomal RNA, 433 nt
Filed under: uncultured bacterium
Lineage: Bacteria
Description: partial 16S ribosomal RNA
Rfam family: Bacterial small subunit ribosomal RNA
Source: RNAcentral
AACGAACGCUGGCGGCAUGCCUAACACAUGCAAGUCGAACGAGGCCUUCGGGUCUAGUGGCGCACGGGUGCGUAACGCGUGGGAACCUGCCCUUAGGUUCGGAAUAACUCCCCGAAAGGGGUGCUAAUACCGGUUAAUGUCUUCGGACCAAAGAUUUAUCGCCUUUGGAUGGGCCCGCGUUGGAUUAGCUAGUUGGUAGGGUAAAAGCCUACUAAGGCGACGAUCCAUAGCUGGUCUGAGAGGAUGAUCAGCCACACUGGGACUGAGACACGGCCCAGACUCCUACGGGAGGCAGCAGUGGGGAAUAUUGGACAAUGGGCGAAAGCCUGAUCCAGCAAUGCCGCGUGAGUGAUGAAGGCCUUAGGGUUGUAAAGCUCUUUUACCCGGGAUGAUAAUGACAGUACCGGGAGAAUAAGCUCCGGCUAACUCCGUG